Molecule: unclassified non-coding RNA, 229 nt
Filed under: Hevea brasiliensis (rubber tree)
Lineage: Eukaryota; Viridiplantae; Streptophyta; Magnoliopsida; Malpighiales; Euphorbiaceae
Source: RNAcentral
UAUGAAUCUAAUUGGAAGUUUCUACAAAGUUCUGUCCAAGUUAUUGGCUAAAAGACUCAAAUCUGCCAUGUGCAAGCUGGUAUCCCCUUCUCAAAUAGCUUUUGUAAGUGGUAGACAGAUUGUAUAUGCCUCACUCAUUGCAACUGAAUGAAUAGACUCCAGAUUGAAGCAGAAAAAGGUUGGUAUUUUAUUCAAACUAGAUAUCAAGCUGAAGACAUGAGCGAAGACG